RNAcentral lists this unclassified non-coding RNA (411 nucleotides) under Hevea brasiliensis (rubber tree). The record is from RNAcentral. Lineage: Eukaryota; Viridiplantae; Streptophyta; Magnoliopsida; Malpighiales; Euphorbiaceae.
AGGACAUUUGCAAUAUCUUUUAUGGUAAUCUCCUUUGUUUAUUCUUCUUCAAUUAUUUAUAAAUUUUAGUCCUGCACUAAAUUAUGGUUCUACUUAUGAGUUAACAAACAUGUGCAAAGUAAGAUAGCUACAUUAGCUAAUCUAACCAUUUAUAGCAUUGAGGCAUGUGUUUAUUUUUUAGAAUUAAUAGAUAUCGUGUCUUCUUACCUUAACCGUGCAUCUCUCACCUCCUUUCUUUGUCUGCUAUAUGCUUGUUUAUUUGUUAUGUGACAACAUAUGGAUUGUGCAAGAGCUCGUGGGAUCUCGUACUUCCUCCUGUCUCUUCAGAAAAUCAAUAUCCUUUAUUUUAUGAACCAUGUACUAACGUGGUGUUUUCAUGAAAUUUGUAGUGUGUACGUCACAUUUUGUGGU